This is a long non-coding RNA of Ipomoea nil (Japanese morning glory), 780 nucleotides long. RefSeq lists it as uncharacterized. The transcript is spliced from 3 exons. The record is from RefSeq and is a predicted model, not a curated record. NCBI's taxonomy places the organism in Eukaryota, Viridiplantae, Streptophyta, Magnoliopsida, Solanales, Convolvulaceae.
GUUCAGAGGUGUGCCUUCCUAUCUUCCUUCGAUCCUUUCCAGAACUCUUAGUUGAAUUAGAUUUCUUAUCAGGCUCUCCAAUCUAGGCCAGUCAUUAGCCAAUACAUAAGUAAUAGAAUAGAAACAUUAGUAUUAAUUAGUAUUUAGUAAUAGAAGGGAAUCGUGAAGUCUUGAUAGCUCCUCUAUCAUUCGAAUAUUUCUUUGACCUAAAUAUGCAAGUAGAUUGUCCAUCUUUUAUAAAAACCUCACCCUAUGUUUAGAAUCAAACAAGUAUCAAGACAACAGUCACCAGUCCAUUUUCUCUGCUUCUGCUGCGGAAUCUUUGUUAUCUUAUAGCAAUAGAAGAAAAGAAGAGAUUUCGAGGUUUUUGUUUGUUGAUCAGGCGACACCCGGAUUUGAACUGGGGAAAAAAGGAUUUGCAGUCCUCCACCUUACCACUCGGCCAUGUCGCCAAAAUGAUACAAAAAUUUUCCCAGAUUACUGAACUUCUUUUUUUAUUGUACUUGCUUUGUUUUCCUUCAUUUUUCCUACAAGAAAGCCCUCUUUUCUUCCCUUUUUUUGAGUGGAUUUGAUUCAUUCUUUCGAUUCAUUGUAUGGUAUCUCAAAAUACACAAAAAACUUUCUCUCACUUUUCUAUUGAAAAGUCAAAUGUGUAUUUUCAGUCGCAAAAGACAAAAUUGAUGAAAAUUGGAACCAUUAACAAUAUGACUGCGCAUGCACGAAAAGUUCUUGGAUUUGAAUCACAAAAUCAAAAUAGUGUUUUCCUAAUAACACAAAAAA